GAUGAACGCUGGCGGCGUGCCUAAUACAUGCAAGUCGAGCGAACAGACGAGGAGCUUGCUCCUCUGACGUUAGCGGCGGACGGGUGAGUAACACGUGGAUAACCUACCUAUAAGACUGGGAUAACUUCGGGAAACCGGAGCUAAUACCGGAUAAUAUAUUGAACCGCAUGGUUCAAUAGUGAAAGACGGUUUUGCUGUCACUUAUAGAUGGAUCCGCGCCGCAUUAGCUAGUUGGUAAGGUAACGGCUUACCAAGGCAACGAUGCGUAGCCGACCUGAGAGGGUGAUCGGCCACACUGGAACUGAGACACGGUCCAGACCCCUACGGGAGGCAGCAGUAGGAAAUCUUCCGCAAUGGGCGAAAGCCUGACGGAGCAACGCCGCGUGAGUGAUGAAGGCCUUCGGAUCGUAAAACGCUGUUAUUAGGGAAGAACAAAUGUGUAAGUAACUAUGCACGUCUUGACGGUACCUAAUCAGAAAGCCACGGCUAACUACGU
RNAcentral lists this ribosomal RNA (496 nucleotides) under uncultured bacterium. RNAcentral's name for it is "partial 16S ribosomal RNA". It matches the Rfam family "Bacterial small subunit ribosomal RNA", at positions 28 to 506 of the family's 1533-position model. The record is from RNAcentral.